AGGCAGCUGUGCCCCUGCAGACCAUGGAUCCACAGGGGAUGCAGAGAUCCACCCGCAGCCCAUGGGGGAGGUGCCCACUCCAGAGCAGGUGGAUUCCUGGAAAGAGGCUGUGACCCCGUGGGAGACCUGUGGAGAGAGGGGCCCUGUUCCCAUGCUGGAGCAGCCUGUCCUUGGAGGACUGCACCCCAUGAAAGAGUGACCCAUGCUGCAGCAUUUGGGGGGUGGUGUAGCUCAUGGGAUGGACUCACAUUGGAGAAGUUCACUGAGAACUAUCUCCCAUGGGAGGAACUCCACGGUGCAGCAGGGGAAGGACUCCUCUCCUGGAGCAUUGGGAGAAGCCGCAGGUGAUGAACUGACCAUAAUCCCAUUCCCUGUCUCCUAGCACCACUGGGGUAGGAGGUAGAGCUGGAAGGAGGGAGGGAUGGGGAGAAGGUGUUUUUAAGGGCUUAUUUUACUUCUCAUUAUCCUGCUUUGAUUUUGUUAGUAAUAAAUUCAUUUUAUAUCUCUAAAAUGAGCCUGUUUUGCCUGUGAUGGUAUUUGAUAAGUGAUCUCUCUUGAUCCUUAUCUCAACUUAUGAACCCUUCAUUAAAUUUUCUCUCCUCUGUCUAGCUGCAGAGGGGAGUGAGUGAGCAGCUUUCAUGGGUGCCUGGCAGCUGGCCAGUGUCAACCCAUGACAUGCCCUAAUUUAGGGAUAGAAUAAACUAAAUCCUUGGGUCCAAACCAUAAGUGAUAAAAGCUCUAAGGAAACAAUGCUGCUUUCAUACAUCCAACAUUUCUUCACUUGGAAUAACAGUUUGGGGAAUAUCUUUUGGGAAAUACACUCCAAAACUAUCCCAGGCACAAUGAGUUGCCCCAAAAAUAACAGCCCUCUUACUAAUGAUAAAGGAGCACUGGCCCUUGGUUCUUAUAUGCUUCUCUGAAAAAUCAGAAAAUGUUUUAAACACUAUCACAAAGUCCAUUAAUAUGGUAUUUGUUGGAACGGAACCUGGUAUUAUCUGUAGUUUUAGUUUUGUUGUCCAACAGAACUUUAAAAAGUCUCAGAAAUCAUUUUCUAUAUUUAGUUCAGUUUAGUUUUUGAUUUUUUUUUAAAUUUACUCAGUGCUCAGGCCCUUGUGUAGUCUGGGUUUGGCUGAAGACUUUUUUGAGAGUUUAAAAGACCUCAGAGACACAUCUAAGAGUUUAAACAUUAAUAAAAAGUGUUGGGGAAAAAAUGGGGAGAUUUUAAAAUGUGAUUUUGUUCUCUUCUGUACUGUAGCGUAUGUAGUAACAGCAGUACGUGCUUUUCUUAGCAUACUAUUAGCAUUAAAUUUUAAUAACAUAUAUAGGAUCUCUGGACUAUUAUACAUAAAUGAAGAAGACAAAACUCCUUUUCAGGUAAAAUAUGCAUAUUUCUCCUAUAUAUUCUUCUUUUUUUUUCCUGCUAUCUCUUUUAUCAUAAACACCAGAACUAUUUACAGUCCUUGAAGGAAGACAUAAAAUUUAAGACUGCAGGUACCGCUCCUAGGUUUUUUGAAUGCUCUAAAAACCAGCGAUUUAGAUUUUCUAAAUAGAAUCACUGUUAUAUUUAAUACAUGAUCUUUAUUUAUUUUUUGAGGGGAUAACUUGGAGAAGAGAGCUGAAGUUUCAUAUACCUUAUAAAACCAGCAUUCUAUCAUGUUGAUAUUUGUCUUCUUCUGUGAACAAUGGUUUCCAUUAGUGUCUUGUACAAUUACAUCUGUUUGAUUAUUAAUGUGUUCAUUAAAAGUAUUUUUUUACCCUAUUUCUACAUUUCUAUUGUUCAUUCUGGCUGGGAAGGAGAUUUCUUUCUAAAAAGACAAAGAGCCCAGUUGCCUGAAUCUAAUUGUAUUCUCAGUUUACUUUAAGCAGAGAUUUUAGUUGAUCUAAAGUAAAAAAUAUUGUUUUUUGCUGUAAGCCAAGUGAACAGAAUCUGUGCUUCCCCAUUUUUCCCUGUCUUCAUUACCUAAUUGUUAUUCCUUAUUACAAGGUGUCUGCCAUCAUGUUAUUUAUUUAUUUUGCAGCAGGUUCCUUUUCCUCCACACUUGUUCUAACUGGUAGUAAGCCCUUAAUGCCACAGUGACCAAUGGUAAAUCACCGUGUCUGACACUGGGAGACAAAAGAAGCAGGAGGGACCUGUGAAAAAUGCCUGCAAGAAGCAAAGCACAGCAUGGAUGGAGAUGAUUCACGUCUCUGCAGUGAAUCUUCAGUAAAAGAUUUCAUGGACCAUGUGGAGGCCAUAAAAUGAAGAGCAUGAAAUGAUCUAGGAGAAGUCUGAUUUAAGUGGCCUCUGUAAUUGUACACUGACAGUGUAACACAAAAACUCCGUAGCAGAAGUAAAGAUGAAGGUCUGGGGUCACUGCUGGUGAAUCCCACAGCAGAAGGAGGAAGAAAAAAGAAACAGACCCAACAUGACCUGAUGACCUGGAAGUUGUGCUGAGCAGGAUGCUGAGGACCUACUGGAGAUGAAUCUAUGGGAGAAAGAAGCAGCAGUGUUGAAGUCAAAAACCAAUAAAUGACUGCCACUGUCUUUGUGACUGUGGCUGUUACUGAAGCAACAGCAGCAAGAGUGGGAAUAUUUCCCAGGUAGUAACCAAUAUAGUAAGUGCUAAAAAAACUGUUGUGCUGUUGUAUGCUGGGUCACCUCAGAUGGAAUUGCAGGGAGAUACUAGGGGCUUUCCCUUUGAGUCCCACACAACCUCUGCCAUGUACAACCCAAGACAGAUUUACACAUGUGAAAAAAUUAAGAUUGGAAGUACAAGUUUACUCCGGCUACAUCUGAACUCGUUGUGAAGCUUGUGAUCCAUUUCCUUUGCAUUCCUCUUAUGCUGUUAUGCUCACAACACUGUCCCAGACAAUUAAAAAAUCAUGGACACUGUGAUAAA
Long non-coding RNA from Corvus hawaiiensis (hawaiian crow), 2879 nucleotides. RefSeq lists it as uncharacterized. NCBI's taxonomy places the organism in Eukaryota, Metazoa, Chordata, Aves, Passeriformes, Corvidae. The transcript is spliced from 3 exons. The record is from RefSeq and is a predicted model, not a curated record.